This is a long non-coding RNA of Vombatus ursinus (common wombat), 515 nucleotides long. The record is from Ensembl. Lineage: Eukaryota; Metazoa; Chordata; Mammalia; Diprotodontia; Vombatidae.
GAAAGAUUCAAAGCAAUUACAAGGGCACAGUCUGGGUGGACUAGGCUGUUCUAGAGAGAAAGUCUGGGUGUGUCUCCCCUACGGCAAACAGCAGCAACCUGGGAAGCCAAGAAUUGCAACAGGUUCCCCCUGACAUCUGGUGAUGGAUCAGUCCUGGACAGUAUAAAAGGGAACUUCCUCCACUGGAGUUCUAUAUCGCUCCUUCUCUUCUGGGAUUCCUCUCCAGGCUCUUUCUGGGCUCGAACAAUCCAGAUGGUUUCAUAAGAGACCUUUUUGACAAAUCUAAGGGUGAAAAUGGAGAAGUCAGCUUUAACAAUUAUAUGAAAAUCGUGGGCAAAAUGGCAAUCAUCUACCAUAAGCGGAGCCAUGGUGAUAUGACCUGUGAUGACCGAAGAUGAACACCACUGAAUCAUGUUGAUGAGAUCCAUGGAUAGAAGGGAUGAAUCUGACCCAUCCUAGCACAGAGAUGAAGUUGAACCAAUAAAACAUCUCCUUUACCUUAUAUUAUGGCUCUU